CAUAUCACCUUGCUGAAUUUCCAAACAGGAAAACGGGGGAACCAAUAAGGACAUAUAUUUGGAUGUCCAUGGGGUGAAUCGUGCAGGAACAUGUUUAUUCCGCACGUAGGGCUGCUCUCAUAGCCCGAAUCCGACAGCUAACCUCGUAAGCGUUGUAUGAGAGAGGAG
This 168-nucleotide small RNA is filed under the name Paenibacillus naphthalenovorans. Its description in RNAcentral is "c-di-AMP sequence". It matches the Rfam family "c-di-AMP riboswitch aptamer (ydaO/yuaA leader)". Rfam says of the family: This family represents a conserved RNA structure found upstream of the ydaO and yuaA genes in Bacillus subtilis and related genes in other bacteria. The record is from Rfam by way of RNAcentral. Lineage: Bacteria; Bacillati; Bacillota; Bacilli; Caryophanales; Paenibacillaceae.